CCAGCUCCAAUAGCGUAUAUUAAAGUUGUUGCAGUUAAAAAGCUCGUAGUUGGAUCUCGGGGCGUGUUGCCUUCGUCAAAGAACGACAUUCAGGAGGGCCCGGUCCGCUGUGGCGCGGCUCGUCCCCUCUGCGUCGGGCAACCGGCGUGGGGGGAAUCAGGCGGGUCGCGCAGCCUGGCGUGUACCGGCCCACCCGCCCUCUCCUUCCGGCUUCCCGUCCUUCCUAUUGAGUUAGCGGAGGACGUGGGGAUGGGGUCGAUCCAGGCGUCUGUCGGGUCGGGGGUGGGGAGUGGAGCAGGCUUCGGUCUGCCACCUUCCUCAUCCUUCCGGCAGGCGUCCGGCCUUGUCCGGGAUCCGGAUCAGUUACUGUGAAGAAAUUAGAGUGUUCAAAGCAGGUGACUUACAACCCGGCGUUCAGGGGUUCGCUUCUGGGCGUCGGGCACCACGAUGAAUACAUUAGCAUGGGAUAACGGAAUAUGACCCUGUCUUUGUUCUGUUGGUUCCUUCGAAGAUGGGGUAAUGAUUAAUAGGGAUGGUCGGGGGCAUUAAUAUUUAAUUGUCAGAGGUGAAAUUCUUGGAUUCAUGAAAGAUUAACUUCAGCGAAAGCAUCUGCCAAGGACGUUUUCAUUAAUCAAGAACGAAAGUUAGGGGAUCGAAGACGAUCAGAUACCGUCGUAGUCUUAACCAUAAACCAUGCCGACCAGCGAUCGGGAGACGUCCGCAUGGAUGACUCCCCCGGCAGCUUGUGAGAAAUCAUAAGUCUUUGGGUUCCGGGGGGAGUAUGGUCGCAAGGCUGAAACUUAAAGGAAUUGACGGAAGGGCACCACCAGGAGUGGAGCCUGCGGCUUAAUUCGACUCAAC
RNAcentral lists this ribosomal RNA (861 nucleotides) under uncultured eukaryote. Its description in RNAcentral is "partial 18S ribosomal RNA". It matches the Rfam family "Eukaryotic small subunit ribosomal RNA", at positions 585 to 1204 of the family's 1831-position model. The record is from RNAcentral.